UGGGGAAUCUUGGACAAUGGGCGCAAGCCUGAUCCAGCCAUGCCGCGUGAGCGAUGAAGGCCUUAGGGUUGUAAAGCUCUUUCACCGGUGAAGAUAAUGACGGUAGCCGGAGAAGAAGCCCCGGCUAACUCCGUGCCAGCAGCCGCGGUAAUACGGAGGGGGUUAGCGUUGUUCGGAAUUACUGGGCGUAAAGCGCACGUAGGCGGACCAGAAAGUUGGGGGUGAAAUCCCGGGGGCUCAACCCCGGAACUGCCUCCAAAACUAUUGGUCUAGAGUUCGAGAGAGGUGAGUGGAAUUCCAAGUGUAGAGGUGAAAUUCGUAGAUAUUUGGAGGAACACCAGUGGCGAAGGCGGCUCACUGGCUCGAUACUGACGCUGAGGUGCGAAAGUGUGGGGAGCAAACAGGAUUAGAUACCCUGGUAGUCCACACCGUAAAACGAUGAAUGCCAGUCGUCGGGUAGCAUGCUAUUCGGUGACACACCUAACGGAUUAAGCAUUCCGCCUGGGGAGUACGGUCGCAAGAUUAAAA
RNAcentral lists this ribosomal RNA (528 nucleotides) under uncultured bacterium. RNAcentral describes it as "bacterial SSU rRNA". It matches the Rfam family "Bacterial small subunit ribosomal RNA", at positions 355 to 899 of the family's 1533-position model. The record is from RNAcentral.